Molecule: long non-coding RNA, 576 nt
Organism: Gadus macrocephalus (Pacific cod)
Lineage: Eukaryota; Metazoa; Chordata; Actinopteri; Gadiformes; Gadidae
Exons: 3
Source: RefSeq, a predicted model, not a curated record
CCUGCCUGGUGAAGGACGUCAGGGUGGGGCGAGUGACACCCGACUCCAAGGGGAUAUCCACUGAGGAGAGAGCUGAAGGAGCCAUGCAUCUGGAAGGUGCAGUUGAAAUGCUGUGUCCAGUCUGGGACAGACAGACCUGAGCUGCAUCAAACCUGUAUCUCUGACCAGCUGGAGGCCUUUAGUGAUCAACAACCGCCACUCAUCGCUGGCCUGUGGAUUCAUCUCCUCCACACUCGCGCAACGUGACCUUGGCCUGUGGAUUCAUCUACUCCACACUCACACAACAGGACUUUGGCCUGUGGAUUCAUCUCCUCCACACUCGCGCAACGUGACCUUCUCACCAUCUGUUGCACGUUUGGAUGCACCGAGCGUGUUCCAUCGAGGGUUCCUUCCUCCCCAUAGUGGGAGGGUUCCUUGUCCUUCAAGGCGUCGGGGUUCAGUGUUAGGGACAGAGUUAGGGACAGAUGGCUGCGCUGGAUUCACGAUAUACGCUUUGUGAUCAAAAUGGGUUCGGACAUCGGACAAAACGCUUCCCAAAAUGUUUCAAUGUGCAAACGAUUUUAUAAAAUGUAUACU